CAAAAAAUAGCUACUUCCGUUAAACAAAAGGUCACUUCCGGUUGGAUUUUACAAGGUCACAUUGCUUGCAACUUAUUGCAAAAAGUCCCAUGUCUUUAUCAUGUAUACAUAUGAGGUAAAAGCAAAGGUCAAAAUCUAGAACGUUAAUUUUGCCUAUGACCUUGAGCUCAAUUUCAAGGUCAACAACCAAGGACCUCAAAUCAAAAGACCCUAGGCCUCUACUGUACAUUGUUAAUGAGUAAUAUUACCAUACAACUAAUAUAAGAUAUAAAAGGGGGAAAAACGCACAUCAAAUGUUUACGUUACCCUUUUAACUAAAAUUUACCUGUUACGACAUGUCGCAACUCACAAUUGUGUGAAAAUAUUUUGUUGAUAUCUUAUAUGAUUGCUGAAAAUAAGAGAUAACAAGCCAAAAUCAAAAUUUUGAACAUGACCUUGACCUUUGACCUUGACCUCAUUUUUUUUUUUUGGACAAAGGACCUCAAAUAAAAAGACCCUAGGCCUCUAUCACUUAUGGUUUUCCAGUUUUAAAUACAUUUCAAAAUUUCAAAUACAAAAGGGGAAAUAACUCUCAUAUGGAAUCUCUAUACGGCUUCGGUCAAAAUAAAACAGAACAUCCUGAGGACAUAACAAGCAAUUUGGAAAAAUAAAUUUGUCGGUUUCUUAUACGGUUGCGAAGCCUUAGAGAUAACAAGAAAAACAGUGUUCGGGGAGAUAACUCUUAUAUGGUAAAGUAUUCGGUUAAGCAGAGUUGGUUUCAAAAGCGUAUAAACUGUUCGAUAUCAUAUUCCAAAUUUCUAAGCGACAUCUUGCGAAACAAAAAAACAGCGAAGGGAAAAAAUUUAGGCGGAAGAAAAAAAAAAAUAAUCAGAAGAAAAGCAAUAGGUCUUUCCACGGAAAAGUGGAAAGACCUAAUAAUCAGAAGAAAUCCAAUAGGUCUUUCCACGGAAAAGUGGAAAGACCUAAUUAUCACAAACAA
Molecule: long non-coding RNA, 979 nt
Filed under: Mytilus galloprovincialis (Mediterranean mussel)
Lineage: Eukaryota; Metazoa; Mollusca; Bivalvia; Mytilida; Mytilidae
Source: RNAcentral